Molecule: long non-coding RNA, 1401 nt
Organism: Astatotilapia calliptera (eastern happy)
Lineage: Eukaryota; Metazoa; Chordata; Actinopteri; Cichliformes; Cichlidae
Source: Ensembl
CUAUAACUGAACCAACCUGGUGCUCUUCAUUUAUGGAGGCUGUUGAGUCUGAAUGUUGGAUUUUGUGUAUCUCGUGUUCUCUGGGCUUUGUUGUCCUCAAGUCUUUUUGCAGGAUCAGAAAACAAAACCAGGAGGCGCGUAAAUGUUUCUUCUCCACGAUGUUUCUUCAAAUGUUUCUUCUGGAUGAUGAUAAGACUGACACGGGAUGCCACCUUUGGUCUUGUGAUGAAGCAAAGCUCAGGAAGAAGUGGGAUUAAAUGGUACCCACAUGUGUGCUGCUGAGAAGGAUGUACAGGGGCACCUGCAGCCAAAUCCAAGCCUCAGAGCAGCAGUUUGUGCUCACAGAUGGUGACGGUGUGGAGAGACGGUGGUGUUUCCUCAGAAGAACCAGCAGAGUCACUUGCUGACUGAUGCUCGUCUGCACUGCACAGAGGAAAUCAGCUGACCGAGGAGUGUUUCUGAGUGAGGGGGAGAGGAGUCAUCAUCCAGAUGGGCAGCAUAUCAGUCUUGGACUGUCUAACCUGCAGCACUGAAUGACCACCGCACAUGAGCAUGUUCCUGCAACAUUCAGCAUCUGAUCCUUCAUCUGUGUGCUGCUGCUUUUGUGUCACAUGUCAAACAGCUGGAGAGGAAACUACACCAGCGUACUGGGAUGUUUCAGCAACACGUGCCAGAUGCUGUUCCUUCAUGGUGACAUCACCAGAGACAGCCCCGCCCACCUCAGGACCUCGCCAUUGAUCAUGAUGAUUAUAAUGAUGACAGCGAGCGGAACUAAGACUGUAAAAAUCCACGACCAGAAUGUUUCUUUCUAAUUAUGAACGAAUAGUGAGAGCCUCUUUCUGUGUUUUGUCUGUUUUGUUUUUUACCUCAUUUGUUUCUAACAAAGUUCACAAACUCACACAGUUUACAUUCUGUAUGUUUCCAUCUUUACCAGCCACUCUAACUGCAUUUAAGAAAAUAAUCCUUAGAAAUCGUCGUUUUUCUCUUUUGUAAUUGAUGAUAAUUCAGUGAAUAUACUGCGCUGCUUCCUUUUAUUGCGUCUCACAUUGCUUUAAGUUUUUCAGUGUCCAGUUAUUAGUGUGAAUGCUUGAAAAGCAUUCACAGUAUUGUUCUUCUAAUCUUUAUUCUUCUAUUUUAUUAUCUAUUCCGUACGUUUUUUGAAAGCCUACUCCUUCAAAACCGUUCAACUUAGAAAAACCAUUCAAACACCAUUAGAUUCCUAUUCUUUUGGACAUGAUUGCUUGUAUUUUUCUCAUUUUUAACAUUUAUAUUUUUAAUUUUAUUCAACUUUAUUCAACAAAAAUUUCCCAUGUAUUUCAAUGGGGAGACCCUUCAAAUUCUCAUUCAACUUACUCAUUUUUAAACUCUUACUACUUCAACAUACGUUCACAUAGAGCCACC